This 77-nucleotide transfer RNA is filed under the name Nitrospira sp. RNAcentral describes it as "tRNA-Pro". It matches the Rfam family "tRNA". From Rfam's summary of the family: Transfer RNA (tRNA) molecules are approximately 80 nucleotides in length. Their secondary structure includes four short double-helical elements and three loops (D, anti-codon, and T loops). Further hydrogen bonds mediate the characteristic L-shaped molecular structure. tRNAs have two regions of fundamental functional importance: the anti-codon, which is responsible for specific mRNA codon recognition, and the 3' end, to which the tRNAs corresponding amino acid is attached (by aminoacyl-tRNA synthetases). tRNAs cope with the degeneracy of the genetic code in two manners: having more than one tRNA (with a specific anti-codon) for a particular amino acid; and 'wobble' base-pairing, i.e. permitting non-standard base-pairing at the 3rd anti-codon position. Lineage: Bacteria; Pseudomonadati; Nitrospirota; Nitrospiria; Nitrospirales; Nitrospiraceae. The record is from RNAcentral.
CGGGGCGUGGCGCAGCCAGGUAGCGCACCUGCUUUGGGAGCAGGAUGUCGGAGGUUCAAAUCCUCUCGCCCCGACCA